GGUUGAUCCUGCCAGGAGUUAUAUGCUUGUCCCAAAGAUUAAGCCAUGCAUGUGCAAGUAUAAGCGAGUUGUACGGUGAGACUGCGAAUGGCUCAUUAGAACAGUUAUAAUUUACUUGACGGUCAGGGGUACUUGGAUAACCGUGGUAAUUCUCCGGCUAAUACAUGCGGCCCUUCGGGGUGUAUUUGUCAGGGACGGACCGAGGCAGGGGAGACUCUGCGGGUGAGACAUGACAACUGGGCGGAUCGCACGGCGCGAGCUGGCGACGCGUCAUUCAAAUUUCUGGCCCAUC
RNAcentral lists this ribosomal RNA (292 nucleotides) under uncultured eukaryote. RNAcentral describes it as "partial 18S ribosomal RNA". It matches the Rfam family "Eukaryotic small subunit ribosomal RNA", at positions 6 to 316 of the family's 1831-position model. The record is from RNAcentral.